CCCGCUCGGUUCCGCCCGCUGUAGC
This 25-nucleotide small RNA is filed under the name Bombyx mori (domestic silkworm). RNAcentral describes it as "ovarian small RNA-13690". The record is from RNAcentral. Lineage: Eukaryota; Metazoa; Arthropoda; Insecta; Lepidoptera; Bombycidae.